This 113-nucleotide microRNA precursor is filed under the name Brassica napus (rape). RNAcentral's name for it is "pre miRNA MIR397". It matches the Rfam family "MIR397 microRNA precursor family". Lineage: Eukaryota; Viridiplantae; Streptophyta; Magnoliopsida; Brassicales; Brassicaceae. The record is from Rfam by way of RNAcentral.
AGAGUGAACAUCAUUGAGUGCAGCGUUGAUGUAAAUUCCGUUUUUCUUUUCUACCGUUGAAUGGAUUAAAACAAUUUAUACCAAUACCAGCGUUGCGCUCAAUUAUGUUUUUC